RNAcentral lists this unclassified non-coding RNA (973 nucleotides) under Zea mays. RNAcentral's name for it is "misc RNA Zm00001eb117880". The record is from RNAcentral. Lineage: Eukaryota; Viridiplantae; Streptophyta; Magnoliopsida; Poales; Poaceae.
AAACCAAAACUGAGUGCGUGCGACCAACCAAAAGCACAACAGAUCCCCGCAGCGACGACGGCUCAGCUGGUGAGCGACGACAGCAUGCCGCCGCCACUCUUGGCCGGCACCACCACCUCCCAGCCCGGGCCUUUCAGCGGUACAAGAGGCGAGGCCGCGUUUGCGCCGCCAGCGCCAGGCGGCGGGCCCAUCAGGUCGCUCCGGUCCAUCAGCCUCUGGAGGUCCUCGUCGCUGAUGUCGGUCUGGACGAUCCUGUCCUCCUCGGUCUGCUCGUCCUUGAGAAGCGCCAGCAGCUCACCUUCCUACGACCAGAUUGGGAUGCGUCGGAGGUAUCACAUCUAAGGCGCUCGGCUUAGCUCUGUCUUGCUCGAACUGUCCCUUGCCGAUCACCACGUGCUCCAGCUUCAGCUUCCCAAAGGCUCUCUUCAUCAUCCGCCCCUGCGAAUGAUGGGAUGCGUGGUGGUGAGUAGGCAUGUACGUACAUUCACUAGAUAACCCAAACAACAGUCUUCAACUCCCAGAUGACUGCCGCACCUCAACGGAGUGUGACGUAGCCAGCCUAUACACAUGCACUGGGCGUGUUUGGCCGAUCCGGUGGCAUCGGUCCAUGGCCUGCAAAUCCAUCUGAGGGUUCUGGAGUAAAGCACAAAAAAAGUUAUGCGCGUUAGAUAGACAUAACUACCGCCAUGUGGGUACAUAGAUAGCCAGUUAGCCACAAGGAGAAGAGGUACGCGUUUUUUUUUAAUAACGACAGACUUCAGCAGAUGGGUAUCGGUAUGUGCCAUGGAUUGAUUGACAAAGAGAGUUUACCCAGUCGCUGUCGUAGAGGAUACAGGUGUCAGCGGCAGUAAGGUUGAUGCCAAGCCCACCAGCCCUUGUGCUCAGGAGGAAGAUACGCAUGCUGCUAUUCACGUCAUUGAAUUCUGCUAUCUGCCAUGUAAAAAUACAAGCAACCAAAACUUAAAUGAGGAAA